RNAcentral lists this long non-coding RNA (493 nucleotides) under Olea europaea subsp. europaea. The record is from RNAcentral. Lineage: Eukaryota; Viridiplantae; Streptophyta; Magnoliopsida; Lamiales; Oleaceae.
CAAUCUUUGUGCGACACAACGUAAAUUACUGUUCUUGCCCAUUUCCGAAACCCUAGAUCCCCCUCUUAGUCAAUUUCAAGGUAAAAUUUACGAAAAUGUCUAUUUCUUUUAUUUUUUAAUCGAGGGUGUAUUUGGAAUUUAAUUACAGAUGGUGUCGGACGCAAGCAAGAAGAAGGCAGCGCAGAAGAAGGCGGCAGCGGCGGCCAAGAGAGGUGGCAAGGCCGCGGCUCCUGCCUCCUCAUCGAAGACGGCUGAAAAUGGAAGUAAAGUUGAUAAUUUGGCGAAUGAGGUCGAAGCGCUUCAGAUAUCCGAUCGGACAUGUACCGGAGUUCUGUGCUCUCAUCCGCUUUCCAGAGAUAUUCGGGUUAGUUGUCAGAUCCAAUUUCAGUUUUGGUUCUGAUGAAUUUCUUUUUUCUUUAUUUUUUUAAUUUCAGAUUUCUUGGUUUGUAUUGUUUACAUUUGAACCCUUAAUUUUUCCUUUUUUUUUCUCGAG